This 951-nucleotide ribosomal RNA is filed under the name uncultured Pseudomonas sp. Its description in RNAcentral is "bacterial SSU rRNA". It matches the Rfam family "Bacterial small subunit ribosomal RNA", at positions 8 to 953 of the family's 1533-position model. The record is from RNAcentral. Lineage: Bacteria; Pseudomonadati; Pseudomonadota; Gammaproteobacteria; Pseudomonadales; Pseudomonadaceae.
AGGGUUUGAUUAUGGCUCAGAUUGAACGCUGGCGGCAGGCCUAACACAUGCAAGUCGAGCGGUAGAGAGGUGCUUGCACCUCUUGAGAGCGGCGGACGGGUGAGUAAUGCCUAGGAAUCUGCCUGGUAGUGGGGGAUAACGCUCGGAAACGGACGCUAAUACCGCAUACGUCCUACGGGAGAAAGCAGGGGACCUUCGGGCCUUGCGCUAUCAGAUGAGCCUAGGUCGGAUUAGCUAGUUGGUGGGGUAAUGGCUCACCAAGGCGACGAUCCGUAACUGGUCUGAGAGGAUGAUCAGUCACACUGGAACUGAGACACGGUCCAGACUCCUACGGGAGGCAGCAGUGGGGAAUAUUGGACAAUGGGCGAAAGCCUGAUCCAGCCAUGCCGCGUGUGUGAAGAAGGUCUUCGGAUUGUAAAGCACUUUAAGUUGGGAGGAAGGGCAUUAACCUAAUACGUUAGUGUUUUGACGUUACCGACAGAAUAAGCACCGGCUAACUCUGUGCCAGCAGCCGCGGUAAUACAGAGGGUGCAAGCGUUAAUCGGAAUUACUGGGCGUAAAGCGCGCGUAGGUGGUUCGUUAAGUUGGAUGUGAAAUCCCCGGGCUCAACCUGGGAACUGCAUUCAAAACUGUCGAGCUAGAGUAUGGUAGAGGGUGGUGGAAUUUCCUGUGUAGCGGUGAAAUGCGUAGAUAUAGGAAGGAACACCAGUGGCGAAGGCGACCACCUGGACUGAUACUGACACUGAGGUGCGAAAGCGUGGGGGAGCAAACAGGAUUAGAUACCCUGGUAGUCCACGCCGUGAACGAUGUCAACUAGCCGUUGGGAGCCUUGAGCUCUUAGUGGCGCAGCUAACGCAUUAAGUUGACCGCCUGGGGAGUACGGCCGCAAGGUUAAAACUCAAAUGAAUUGACGGGGGCCCGCACAAGCGGUGGAGCAUGUGGUUUAAUUCG